Molecule: long non-coding RNA, 626 nt
Organism: Hypanus sabinus (Atlantic stingray)
Lineage: Eukaryota; Metazoa; Chordata; Chondrichthyes; Myliobatiformes; Dasyatidae
Exons: 3
Source: RefSeq, a predicted model, not a curated record
GGCCAAUCAGCUUAAAGAUGUUGUGUAUCCAUUUGAGCUCUGAAACUGAUUUGAAAUUGACCGACGCGAUCUGGAGGGUGAACUGGGGAAGGAAAGCGGACACCGGAUCGUGCAGAAUGAAAGGCCAUGAAGCUGAUUUGUAGAUUAUUUUGCGUUACUGUGAUGAAUUCAAUCAACUGCUUCCAAGCAAGAGUCGUAUUUGAAGAGGAACCAGGAGAACUACUGUAAGUGAAAUACUGGAUGGUGUUCCUUAACAGGUCCUGUCUUGUUGGCAAACAGAGCCUGAGGUUGAAAAGGCGAAAGCAUAACAGCAAAGAGAUGACCUACUGCACUGGUAGUCGGUAACUUCGGACUGAAUCGUUGUCAUCAAUGAGCUACCAAAGUUCUACUUUACAGCUGCAUGAUAUUUUAUUUGUUGUAUUCUCACAUUUUGGAGAAAAAAAGAACUAAGAAGAUAAAAGCUGGACCGAGGAGUGUAGGUGUGAAUUGGUGUAAAGAGAAGCUCAAGACAGUGGAGAUAGUAUUUUUGAUGCCUUUUUUCUGUGCAUCUCUUUAUAAAAUCACUACAAACAAUAAUGGAUUGUUGAUAAGAUGCAUCUCUGCCAAUACAUUAUUACAAUUAUGCU